Molecule: long non-coding RNA, 2895 nt
Filed under: Nicotiana benthamiana
Lineage: Eukaryota; Viridiplantae; Streptophyta; Magnoliopsida; Solanales; Solanaceae
Description: long non-coding RNA (NBEN_LNC026987)
Source: RNAcentral
UACAUCUAUCAUUACGCAUGCAAGGAAAUGAUUUUCUAACAGAACAACAAGGGUCAUGCAUCAUAAAAUUCUUCACGACAUUAUGAUAAUAUGAAUCGAUCGAUUCAUCUGGUAUUUCUGCUGAAAUUAUUUUAUCUAUAUCUCCAACAUUUUGAUAUUUAUUAUGAAGAAACAGCAAUAUGUGUGCAUGUUACAACCCCCGUUUUUGGAAUUCUAUUAUAUAUAUCACUGCAAAAAAAAAUUGUGAUUGGGGUAAUUGGUUGUAGUUUAUAUGUAAGAUAAAAUGCUUUCUUAAAUUAGCUUAUAAAUAUCAUAAGAAAUUAUUUAUACUGUUUAAUUAUAUACCUGAUUUAAUUGGUCCAAAAAUUUGUUUCUCUUUCAAAUCCUUAAUUAAGCGAUCCAAUUUUAUUUUGAACACCCUAGAUAAAAUGUCUGGGCGAUCUUCUAGUUUCAAGCUCCUCAUCUUUACAAAUCUAAUAAUUCAGGCCACUUUGGGUUGCAAGUAAAUGUGAUAAAGAGAUUUGGAUAUCCAACCCACUUGCAAAUUGCCGUAGCAUCUUGAUAAUUUUGAAUCAUGUAUCUUGCACCCCCUGUGAAUCUGGAUGAAAGAAUUAUCCUUUUACCUUGAGAAGAAAGAUUUAUCUCUCCAUGUAAAACUGCAUCUUCUAAUCCUUUAUACCUAUGAGCUCUUAAUUUUGUUUGAUGAGUUCUAAUAUACUUCAAUCUAGACGAUUCAACCAUUGUAAAUCCAUCGACCAAGAAUUAUUGAAAUAAUUGUCUUGAGUUCACAAUUGUUGGUACUUCACCCUUCCUUUCUUGAAUUUUGUAUGCGAAAUAUUCACGCAUGCUAACAAAAUGCCUUCCUCCACUUGAAUCGUCAUUUCCAUUUAAAGGAACGUCUUCCCUAAACCAUUUUCACCUAAUGGAAACAAUAAAGGAUACUGAAGACCUAAAUAGGCAGCAUUUAACUCAUUUAUCCUUUGUAGAUUUCCAGAUUGAGUUUCAACGAUGAUGUCUCGGUCACAUCUAGAUACAUCAAAACCUCCAACUAUCAAAGCGGCAACCUGGAAAUUGUUGGUAAGUUGUAUCUUCUUCCAUCAUAGUUACGUUUUCCUAUCAAUCUGAGUCUAAAAUUGGACUGACUAUCUUCCUGAAAUUUGUCUCUAACCAUUCUAAAUGACUUUGUCAAAAUAUUCUUCUCAUCAAACAUAUGUUUCAGAUCUUGAACAAUUUCAUCAUGAAGUUGGUUUAUUCUAUCACCACGACUGCAUUAAAAUAUGUUUUAUUAUAUUCGUCUAACUUUUGUAUUUUUUUAUAUUAUUCAUGGAUAUAUAAAUUUGGAAAAAUUAAAUACUAACCCCAUUGCAUGAAUUCUAUUCUGAACUUCGUUUUCUGUGCCAUAUAUAUAUAUAAUUGCGCAAACUUGGGAGUGGAUCCUUCAGAAGACAAUAAACUCCCCGAUUUGAUGAUAGUUUUCUCCAGAUAAUUUGAAUGUUCUUGGCCCCUUUGUUUGGUUGACGGAAGCAUCAAUUUUUCCUCCCAUUGAGGUAAAUAAAAACAUUGAGUUAUAACUUCUAAUAUUUUCUCUGAAAUGGUUACUUUUUGGACCUAGAUUAAAGUAUUUGUUGGUGAAUAAAUAAGUAAUGUUAUAUUUGAUAUACAAUUGAAGUUUUGGUAAAAGUAGAUUUCUUGUUACUUGUCCCGAAUAAUAAAUUUUUUAAAAUUGUGGGAGGUUCUUUUGGCUUUGGUAAGAGUAUUUUUCCUGAUUACAACACAAAGAAAACUCUGGUUUUUUUGCUUUGAUUUUCUUGUUGUUUCUUUCUUCGUACCAGAAGUAAGCACCACAAUGUUCACAUUCAUAUGUAGGAUCGCCUAUAUCUCAAUACUCUAUGAAUAAAAUAAGCAAAUGUAAGAUUAAUGUAAAGGCGUGGUAAGCCUAGUUAUUGUAUAUACAUAUUUUAAAAAAAUAUACAUACCUCCAUUGUCAAUAUUUCUAUAUCCAACAUCAGGAUCUAAAUAGUAUUAAAAUUAUAUUAUAUUAAAUAUGGAAAUUGAAAAGGGGUACUCUAUGAAUAAAAUAAGGAAAUGUAAAAAUAAGUUAAAGGCGUGGUAAGCCUAAUUAUUAUAGCUACAUAUAGGAAAAAUAUAUAUGCAUACCUUCAUUGUCAAUAAUUCCAAAUCCAACAUCACUAUCUAAAUAGUAGUAAAAUCAUAUUAAAUUAGCCAUGUAAAGUGAAAAGGGAGAUAUGAAUGAAUAAUUAUUUUUUUAAGAUAGACAUACCUUCAUAGUCGUCUUCAUCUUCAUUUGCAUCAUUAUUUGCUGCAAUAUUUUUCAGGUAAUACGUUUAGUAAUUAAUCAUGCUACCAUUAAUUUGAAAAUUACUAUAUUUGUAUAAUUUCAUAUGCAGGAAAAAAAUUUAUGAAUAACUUACCUAGUACAUCCCCAUCAAUAUUGACAUCCUCAAGUUCUAAAAUAAAAAAUCAUAGUAAAAUGUCGUGAGUAAAAUGAAAUUAUUAAUGUUAUAUUAUUAAUUUUAUUUAUAAUAAUAACCUGGCUGCAGGGAUAGCUCAUUUAAAUGAGGUAGAAGAUAACUUGUGUUCAAAUUUGAAUUUGACAAACCAAAUUGCAAAUGUUGCUGUUGUGGUAAAUUUGGAUACUGUGGUUGAGAUUGCAACGAUGAAGCGUGUGAAAAUCUAUCUACAGGUGUAUAAUAUAAUGUUGUGAAAACUUGACGGUUUGUAUGUCUGUUAAAGGUUAUGUUUCAUUUUCUUUUCCAAAUGCAUCACCUGUAAUGGUAUAAGGACAAAUAAAUUGUAUAAACCAUUAAACAUAUAGAGUACUUAAGCUAUAAAAUGUGGAAAAAAUAAAAGCAAAAUGAGGUUACACAAACAUUG